UAUGGCCACAACACAUUGAAACACCAUUUCCUGUAUGAUAACCGAAGUUAAGCAAUGUUGAGCCUGGCCAGUACCUAGAUGGGUGACCAUUUGGGAAUACCAGGUUCUGUAGG
This is a non-coding RNA of Acanthosepion pharaonis, 113 nucleotides long. The record is from the annotation of a GenBank genome assembly. NCBI's taxonomy places the organism in Eukaryota, Metazoa, Mollusca, Cephalopoda, Sepiida, Sepiidae.